AGACUUAGAGAACAUAUGCAGGGAGGGAGAUGGUGUAGGUUGGUUCCAACAAACAGUUGUUUGGAAUGUCAGAGCUGGGGACUCAGUACACUUCUGGGAAGAUCCGUGGAUAAGUAAUAGUACCUUUAAGGAUUCAUAUCCUAGACUAUUUUCCUUAUCCUUGAAUCAAGGGAUGAAGGUGGGUGAGGUUGGCUUUUGGGAAGAAGACGUAUGGCAUUGGCACCUUGAAUGGAGGAGGG
This 239-nucleotide long non-coding RNA is filed under the name Phaseolus vulgaris (common bean). Its description in RNAcentral is "long non-coding RNA (PVUL_LNC004362)". Lineage: Eukaryota; Viridiplantae; Streptophyta; Magnoliopsida; Fabales; Fabaceae. The record is from RNAcentral.